CAAGGAAUAGUUUAUGUAGAAUCUCAGCUUUGGGUGUUGAAGGUGGAGUAUGGUGCUUCUUCCUUGA
RNAcentral lists this transfer RNA (67 nucleotides) under Lepilemur betsileo. Its description in RNAcentral is "tRNA-Pro". The record is from RNAcentral. Lineage: Eukaryota; Metazoa; Chordata; Mammalia; Primates; Lepilemuridae.